This 704-nucleotide ribosomal RNA is filed under the name uncultured fungus. RNAcentral's name for it is "eukaryotic LSU rRNA". It matches the Rfam family "Eukaryotic large subunit ribosomal RNA", at positions 24 to 664 of the family's 3401-position model. The record is from RNAcentral. Lineage: Eukaryota; Fungi.
CCCGCUGAACUUAAGCAUAUCAGUAAGCGGAGGAAAAGAAACUAACAAGGAUUCCCCUAGUAACGGCGAGUGAAGCGGGAAUAGCUCAAAUUUAAAAUCUCGGCGUUCUGCGUCGCGAAUUGUAGUCUAAAGAGGGUGAUCUAGGGUCGGUGGUGUGCUCAAGUCCCUUGGAAUAGGGCGCCAGAGAGGGUGAGAGCCCCGUAAUAGCAUGUCGCUGGCCUCAAGUGAGAGCCUCUCAACGAGUCGAGUUGUUUGGGAAUGCAGCUCAAAGUGGGUGGUAAAUCUCAUCUAAGGCUAAAUAUUGGCAAGAGACCGAUAGCGAACAAGUACCGUGAGGGAAAGAUGAAGAGCACCUUGAAAAGGGAGUUAAAUAGUGCGUGAAAUUGUUAAAAGGGAAACGAUAGAGACUAGUAUUGGACGUAGGCUAAGCUGGUGUUUCGGCAUUAGUGGUGCUUGCGCUUCGAGUCAAUGUCAGUUGUUUUUGCCGGAUACGGCUUGGAGAAAGGUGGGGUUGACUUUGGUCUUCUCUUUAUAGUCUCUGAUGCCUGCGGCCGAGGCGACUGAAAGUCUUGGGACGCUAGGCUACUCGGGGGUAGUAAGUGGCAGACAGCAUGCUGACUGUUGCCUUACUUAUUCUCUACUAACCGACGCUUACCUGGAUGCCUUUGACGAGAUGGUCUUUAACGACCCGUCUUGAAACACGG